GAUGGCAUUGUACUAAGCUCUUCAGUUACUGCGGGAUGGCUAAGGUCCUGUGCAUCUCAUGCCACCUGACACCUGGGACAGGCAGUACUGCAUAUGGAAGCCUGGGCAGGACAAGUAUGCCCCGGGAACUGCCCAUCUGCCUGUAAGGUAGGCUUCCCAGUGGCGGCACCACAUGACCUGAAGGAUCUUGAAAGGAUACACAAGACAGCUGUGGAGCUCAUCACAAGGCGUGGAAGCACUGAGGCCAGGCAGGGUCAUCAGGGCAGGGCUGGCGGAGUGGACAGGUGACCAGUGACAGUGUGAUCCUACGCUAAGCACUGGGGGCUUAUUCUGGAGGCAAUGGGAAGAUGUGGCUUGGUGAAAGGCUUGGUGAAAGCCCUCUGGCGGCAGGGUGGGGUGGACGUGGAGGCCAUCCCACCAGUUUGUCCUGGUCUCACUGGCAUGUCGGCCAGGUCUCCCUCUGUCGUGCUGCUCUCCUGCAACUGUGGUGUUUUACACACCUCACUGACUGGUCUGGCAAGGCGCACAGCAACCACAGUGGGAUCCAUGCUCACUGGACUCCACCUGCUCCCGAUCCAUCCACAACCAGCCCAGGGAGACAGGUUGUCUCUUCUCAGACUCACUUGAGGCUGAAAUGCCUCAGGAACAGGAUACCGGCUCUUCACCCAUGGGACGGCCCCCACCUUAUGGCUCCUCAGCCUCACCCUGGUUAGGAGUGGGGGGUGGAGGGAAGGACACAGGUGAACGGGGCUCUUGAGGUUGGAAUGAAUUUUUAAAGAGAUGUUUGGGAAGAACAACUGACGAGUACCACGUGGUGUGCAUGGGAGCAGGGUGGGGAGCCAGGUCAAUGCGGUCUGACCCCAAGAGGAUAAAAACCCAACACUGGAAACUGCACCAAGACGAGUCAAUCCUGUGAGGCCAGAGACUGAGCAGACUCCCUCUGAGCGGGGAGGAAACACUGCUGGGUGUGAACUAUGGACCAGUGGCUCAACGGGGAGGCCACACAAGGGGCUAUGCCAUCCAUGGGUACAGUUUUCCCGGCCAAUGGCCCCUGACAAGUAAUUACCGCACCCGCCCUACCGUGCUGGGGCCCGGAACCUGGUCUCUCCUCCAGCACUGGGAACACUUGGGCAAGCUCUUCUUCCAGAGGGCCCUGACAUAAGACAAAAAGUGAACUUACUGAAGAACUCUGGCUCAGUGAACUUGGCAAUGAAUGAAUUGAGCCCUAGGUGGAUUAAGAAUGAAUGAGCCCUAGGUGGAUUAAAAAAAGAUUAUAAUUCAGUCCUUUAUACAGCUUAACAUGAAUAAAUAGACAUUCUUAACAAAGUGAGGUCCCCAAAUGCCUUCAUCACUGUUUUUUUUUAAUCACUGGGCUUUUUGAAGAAAUUUUUUCAAACCACAAUUCUUUCAAUUCAUCAGUUUUGGUAACCCACAGAAACCCAGGGCAUGAGUGGGGCCUGUGCACCACGGAAGCCUGUGAAUUAGCCGCUGUUACUUUGAGGGAGGAAAGGGGAGUAACAGAUGCUCUCAUUUUACAGGUUCUUUGGCAAAGGGAAAGGAAAAAACGUUAUUUUGCCAAGACUGUUAGCAUUUUGCUAGACACACUUUCAUGAAGAAUAAUGAACUUAUGGCAAACCUGACUUUCCAAGGAGAAACAUUUUUAAGUGGAUGAAGUGAAAACACUCCUGGAAUAGACUGUACUUGCUGGAAGAGUUUCAUUAAAGGCUGCAAUUGGUGGCUAACCAGUUUUACAAAUGGUUGGAAGUUUACAUUAAAAAAAUUCUGGUAGAUUCUGAUAUAUCUGCAACAAGUCUGAUUUUGUAGGAAUUUGCGAUUUUUUUUUCACAUCAACUUCUUCAAAGGCUGUGAGAGGUAACAGAGCAACCCUAGAGAACAGCGGGCGUGUCCUUUGAACAAGUUUAAUAGAUCUUACAGAUGGCCACUGCCUGGAGUUUGUUUGCCCUCUGGGAUUUUUUGUUAUUGUUGUUGUUGAACUCCGGAGCCCAGCAGAAGGGCUGUUCCAUCUGUUUCCGAUGCCAUUGGAGGAAGGCAUGCUGGCUCUGCUGCCAGGUGGCCCAGGACUCUGUGGACUGGUCUGGCUGCAGCCAAGACCUGACUAGCAUGCUUUUGCCUCCCGUACCCACGACGGUGUGGAAGUUUGGCAGAUUAAGGGCACAGGAAAUAUGAAACGUUUAAACUAGUAAAUAGCAAGGUAUAUAUUCCUUUUAAAGACUGUAUGUUCAAACUAUUUUAGCUCCUGCAAAUGCUCUACCAGCUCUCUGCAAAGCUUUCUCAUUUACUUCUGUCACACGACUGCUUUAGCAGGUGCCAAACCUGGCUUCAUCUGCAAUGGCAGAAAUCACGAACAGCCCUCUGAGCCUGUCAGUGCUUGUAAAUGAUAGUAGAUGAAACAGGGGGUCUUGAUAAACAGAACCCAAGGCACUGCCCCGAGCCAGAGCUCUGCCAACACUCCAAAUACAGUAAAUGAAAACACAGAUGAGAAGCAAGGGACACAGACGCGUUAGCACUUGACACUGGAGUCAUACACUCGCCCCAGCUCCUUAUGAAGACUUUGAAGGGAGGUAAUUUGCAGGUGGUAUGCUUGAGGGAAGGGGAGAUGUGAGCCUUUCCUUCUGACAGGUCUAUCCUGGAACUGUUUCCUCCUGAGUACGCCUGAAAAACAUGCUGCCGACCCAUCAAAUUCUAAGCAGCAGAGUUAUGGGGACACAAGUGGACAUCGGAGAAAUCUUGGAGCUUCACGUCCCAAGGGCCUGCUCUACUCCUGUCUGGCUCAGUAUACCCAUCCUGGGAAGAGGAGAAAUCUACUAUCACCGGGCUGGUGGAACACAUGAACCAGAACCUGAAGUGUUCCUUUGGCCUAAGUGGGGAGGAGACCUCAAGAAACCAAAAAGUCCUGGAAAUCAGGGUUCUGCAGCCACUAAAAGAUGCUAUGCCGCUCCCCCACCCCACCCCCCCUCCCUGGCCAAGUAGGCAGCACAACAUCAGUUCUCUGCCUCAAUGGGCCAGGCUGGAUGGUGUUCUUAACAAGAUGGGGUAAGGGGCAGGGCUCUGAGGGAUUUCCAUUGGACAGAGAGGGAUGAUUCUGUCACACAGAGAGGUCAUUUUUGAAGAAUUACUAGAUCUCUGAUAAGCAAAGUUAUUUGUCUAUCAGAAUCCAGAACAGCUGUCCCUUCCAUUCCUUUACCUACAACACCCGUUAUUUCCAUUCACCCGUGGGCGCUGACAUCACUUCUUCACCUCCAUCUGCACCGCCAGCUGUGCAGCCUGGGAGCUGCCCCAACAGCUGUGAGGGGCGUCAGGACUCAGGAAGACUGACCUCAUAAUCAGACUGUAUUACAAAUUAAGAACAACAAUCCAGACUGGGCAGAUGGAAGACGGGGGAAUCCAGAGGUCAAAGGAGGCUGUCAGUGAACUGGAGUGCGCCAGGCAGGCAGCAGUUUUCUUACCCAGCAUGGGCCUGUUGGAAUAUGGAUGGCUACGUGCUGCUGCUGCUUCUGAUUCCUGGCCCCCAGACCGCCCGGAACCACAGCAGUCUCAGAAAGCCACAGGUACUGUCUCAGUGACUUCACACACUGGUGGCUGAUUACUGAGGUAUCCCUCCUGUCCCUCAGUACAUGAGGCUCUGACUCUCUGGCAUUGCCCACUGGCUCACAACGACAAGACUGCUGUGGAAACACCAAGUCCCUGGCUGGUCUGGGUUCCCACCAGUUUCCUCUGGGCAGCAUGUGAGAAAGAGCUCCCUGCCUUUUUCCUUUCCUUUUUCUUUUUCAGGUAUCAUCCAGAUCUAGCGUCCAAGGGUUCCAAGACUUCCUCAUCCCAUCUGGACCCAAAAGCAAGAGCUGAUUUUUAAAAGUCAAAUUCUUGUUUCAUUUGGACAGAAGGAAUAAUGUGUCUUUCAUAUUUUCUUUGUAUUUCUCUUCAAUAGUUGCUUGACCCAAUAUCUGUCUGCUCUAUACAAUGAAAAUACAAACUAAAUGAGAAUAGAAAAAAAUAAUUAAAGCAUUAAAUUGUACAAAUUACAAAUCUGUUCCAAAAUAUACUUACAUUAAAUAAAAUACGCAUUUCAGUAAGA
Mustela erminea (ermine) is the source of this 4093-nucleotide long non-coding RNA. RefSeq lists it as uncharacterized. The record is from RefSeq and is a predicted model, not a curated record. The transcript has 3 exons. NCBI's taxonomy places the organism in Eukaryota, Metazoa, Chordata, Mammalia, Carnivora, Mustelidae.